UACGUAGGGGGCUAGCGUUGUCCGGAAUCAUUGGGCGUAAAGCGCGUGUAGGCGGUCCGGUAAGUCCGCUGUGAAAGUCGGGGGCUCAACCCUCGAAUGCCGGUGGAUACUGUCGGGCUAGAGUGCGGAAGAGGCGAGUGGAAUUCCUGGUGUAGCGGUGAAAUGCGCAGAUAUCAGGAGGAACACCAAUUGCGAAGGCAGCUCGCUGGGACGUUACUGACGCUGAGACGCGAAGGCGUGGGGAGCAAACAGG
This 253-nucleotide ribosomal RNA is filed under the name uncultured bacterium. RNAcentral describes it as "partial 16S ribosomal RNA". It matches the Rfam family "Bacterial small subunit ribosomal RNA", at positions 524 to 776 of the family's 1533-position model. The record is from RNAcentral.